Molecule: long non-coding RNA, 988 nt
Organism: Protopterus annectens (West African lungfish)
Lineage: Eukaryota; Metazoa; Chordata; Ceratodontiformes; Protopteridae
Exons: 3
Source: RefSeq, a predicted model, not a curated record
CAGUCUUGUCUUCUUGUAGCUCAUGUGUGGGAGGGAAGCCUCCUCAAAUCGCACCCCCCCAUUAUGAUUUCCUGAUGACUAAGAAGGCACAUCUCUUGUACAUGGUUCUUUGGGUCUUUUUUGUCCCCUAAGCUUUUAGUGCCUGCCACAUUCCCUCCUUGGCUUUUCACUGGUCUGCACAAGCUCUCAUUAAUACAGAAACCUGCUAGCAAAGGCAGGAACCACCGCAGUUGGAGACGAUUUUGAGAGAAGUAAGCAUAGUCAAGGUUUCAUUCCAUCUGAUUUUUAUGUAGUUUAAAAUCAUGAUAUUCUUGUGACAGUCAGGUGCUUAGAGUUGGGGGAGGGGUGGCUUGCAAUUGGCCAAUAAUGCAUGGAAGAAAAACAACAAGAUAUAAAUGCAAGAGAAGACAUCAAAAAGAGGGAUAGAUAAUGUGAAAAAGGAAACUGGAACAUCAUCUUGCAUUUCUUUUUUGCAAAAACUGAGCUCGAGCAGGGAAGAAACUUUACUCUGGAAACCUCACAGCUUGUCUUGCAAUUAUACUAACAGAAAGGAACAGUACAUUGGUAGGAUAAAAAGCAUGAGGCAUGCAGUUUCCAGGCUUGUCAAGAAAAACAGUGGCAUGGCUUCUGAUAUCAGAGGGACUUUCCUUUCAGCUUUGUGCCUAAACCGAAAUAUUGCCUGAAGCUUGCUGCAGAAGAGACGUCCCAAAUUCUCAAGUCCAGCUACAGUAAGCAAGUCUUUCUUACUAGACAAUCAAGUUGCUGAACAAAGACACAAGAAAGGCCACCAACAUCUUCAGUGGAGUGACAAACCUAGACACUGCAGCUGCAAGAGUACACAGAAGAUUUGCUUUUGGCUUGAGAGUUUCAGAGACAGCCUCAUCACAGCUUUUACAGUAUCUUGACGGCAACAUUUGGGAUUUGCAUUUUUCUUCGCAACAAAGACUCAUUUACAUCCAUUUAGGAUUGAUAUUUUACUGGACAUAAU